GGGCUCAUAGCUCAGUCUGGUAGAGCGCUCGGCUUUUAACCGAGAUGCCGCGGGUUCGAACCCCGUUGAGCCCG
This 74-nucleotide transfer RNA is filed under the name Candidatus Altarchaeota archaeon. Its description in RNAcentral is "tRNA-Lys". It matches the Rfam family "tRNA". Rfam says of the family: Transfer RNA (tRNA) molecules are approximately 80 nucleotides in length. Their secondary structure includes four short double-helical elements and three loops (D, anti-codon, and T loops). Further hydrogen bonds mediate the characteristic L-shaped molecular structure. tRNAs have two regions of fundamental functional importance: the anti-codon, which is responsible for specific mRNA codon recognition, and the 3' end, to which the tRNAs corresponding amino acid is attached (by aminoacyl-tRNA synthetases). tRNAs cope with the degeneracy of the genetic code in two manners: having more than one tRNA (with a specific anti-codon) for a particular amino acid; and 'wobble' base-pairing, i.e. permitting non-standard base-pairing at the 3rd anti-codon position. The record is from RNAcentral. Lineage: Archaea; Nanobdellati; Candidatus Altarchaeota.